Acanthosepion pharaonis is the source of this 99-nucleotide non-coding RNA. The record is from the annotation of a GenBank genome assembly. Lineage: Eukaryota; Metazoa; Mollusca; Cephalopoda; Sepiida; Sepiidae.
GACUACAUCACGUUGAAACACCGUUUCUCGUAAGAUCAUCAAAGUUAAGCAACGUUGAGCCUGUUCAGUACCUAGAUGCGUGACCACUUAGGAGUUGUA